UGGGGAAUAUUGCACAAUGGGCGAAAGCCUGAUGCAGCAACGCCGCGUGAAGGAAGAAGGGUUUCGGCUCGUAAACUUCUAUCAACAGGGAAGAAAAAAAUGACGGUACCUGAAUAAGAAGCCCCGGCUAACUACGUGCCAGCAGCCGCGGUAAUACGUAGGGGGCAAGCGUUAUCCGGAAUUACUGGGUGUAAAGGGAGAGUAGGCGGUAUGAUAAGUAAGAUGUGAAAGCCCGGGGCUUAACCUCGGGAUUGCAUUUUAAACUAUCAAACUAGAGUACAGGAGAGGUAAGUGGAAUUCCUAGUGUAGCGGUGAAAUGCGUAGAUAUUAGGAAGAACACCAGUGGCGAAGGCGACUUACUGGACUGAAACUGACGCUGAGGCUCGAAAGCGUGGGGAGCGAACA
Molecule: ribosomal RNA, 405 nt
Filed under: uncultured Eubacteriales bacterium
Lineage: Bacteria; Bacillati; Bacillota; Clostridia; Eubacteriales
Description: uncultured Clostridiales bacterium partial 16S ribosomal RNA
Rfam family: Bacterial small subunit ribosomal RNA
Source: RNAcentral